Molecule: long non-coding RNA, 300 nt
Filed under: Brassica rapa (field mustard)
Lineage: Eukaryota; Viridiplantae; Streptophyta; Magnoliopsida; Brassicales; Brassicaceae
Description: long non-coding RNA (BRAP_LNC007481)
Source: RNAcentral
CGAAAUCGCAGGAGAAAGAGAGAGUGCGGCAGAGAGAAAUGGGGAAGAAGGUCGGGCUCGACCUAAUAAAAUGAGGGGUCCGACGGAAAUUAUCCGUCGGAAUUUCCUCGGAAAUAUUUACUAUAUCCGUCGGAAUUUCCUCGGAAAUCAUUAAUUCAAUUUUCGCGAAAUAUUUGGCGGCUUGGUUUACCCGGUUAAAUGAAAAUAUUCCGAGGAACCAGGUUUCCUCGGAAUUUCCUCGGAAUUUACCGAGGAAAUUCCGAGGAACCAGGGUUUGGGGUUUCAAAACAUCGAUUAUUU